RNAcentral lists this long non-coding RNA (653 nucleotides) under Ananas comosus (pineapple). Its description in RNAcentral is "long non-coding RNA (ACOM_LNC025903)". Lineage: Eukaryota; Viridiplantae; Streptophyta; Magnoliopsida; Poales; Bromeliaceae. The record is from RNAcentral.
UGCUUAAUUCGAAAAUAAAAAUGGCUAAAAGAGAAAGAGACGAAACAUAAUUUUUAUAAAAAAUGGUGAUAUUUUAUAUGUUAAAUUGCGAGAUUUUGUGGUGGGAGGAACUUAUGUGCAAAUACAUAUGUGGGUAAAUUUUGAAUAAAAAAUUUGAACCGAAGGGGCUAAAUAUAAUUUUUUACAAAAAUAAAAAAGCACGCUUUCACGGACUUAGCGUUUUCGUUCGCAAAGCCCGUGCGGCGCCCACCUUUCUUUGCAGAGAUGGACAAGCUAGGCUUUGUCCCUGUUGUUAGCCCGGACCUUCGCGUCCUACGACUAAGUAUGCAAAAGGGAAGUAACGAGAGAGAGAGACAGAGGUUCACUCAAAAAAACUAAGUACUCCACUACUUAGAAUAAGAGAUUACAGCAUACAUACACACUCACUCUUGUGUGCUUUGGCCUUAGCCAAACCCUACUAUUUAUAGGCCUAUGGAUACAAUAACCUAGCCACAUAACUCAUCUACUAGCCUACUCAUAAUGAGCCCUCAUAAUAGCCAAAAGCCCAAGAGUCACACCAUAACUCAUGGCAAUUAUGUAACCCUUGAGUUUCCCACAGCGCGUUGGGUUUGGGUCUCCUUUACAACCCGAUUCAACUCGUUUUCGCUAGCAGA